This 468-nucleotide ribosomal RNA is filed under the name uncultured bacterium. Its description in RNAcentral is "partial 16S ribosomal RNA". It matches the Rfam family "Bacterial small subunit ribosomal RNA", at positions 28 to 507 of the family's 1533-position model. The record is from RNAcentral.
GAUGAACGCUGAUAGAAUGCUUAACACAUGCAAGUCUACUUGAAUUUGGGUUUUUUAACUUAGAUUUGGGUGGCGGACGGGUGAGUAACGCGUAAAGAACUUGCCUCACAGCUAGGGACAACAUUUGGAAACGAAUGCUAAUACCUGAUAUUAUGAUUAUAAGGCAUCUUAGAAUUAUGAAAGCUAUAUGCGCUGUGAGAGAGCUUUGCGUCCCAUUAGCUAGUUGGAGAGGUAACGGCUCACCAAGGCGAUGAUGGGUAGCCGGCCUGAGAGGGUGAACGGCCACAAGGGGACUGAGACACGGCCCUUACUCCUACGGGAGGCAGCAGUGGGGAAUAUUGGACAAUGGACCAAGAGUCUGAUCCAGCAAUUCUGUGUGCACGAUGACGUUUUUCGGAAUGUAAAGUGCUUUCAGUUGGGAAGAAAAAAAUGACGGUACCAACAGAAGAAGUGACGGCUAAAUACGUG